RNAcentral lists this ribosomal RNA (440 nucleotides) under Viverricula indica (small Indian civet). Its description in RNAcentral is "partial 12S ribosomal RNA". It matches the Rfam family "Bacterial small subunit ribosomal RNA", at positions 768 to 1402 of the family's 1533-position model. The record is from RNAcentral. Lineage: Eukaryota; Metazoa; Chordata; Mammalia; Carnivora; Viverridae.
UAAACUGGGAUUAGAUACCCCACUAUGCUUAGCCCUAAACUCAGAUAGUUCCUCGAACAAAUCUAUCCGCCAGAGAACUACUAGCAACAGCUUAAAACUCAAAGGACUUGGCGGUGCUUUACAUCCCUCUAGAGGAGCCUGUUCUAUAAUCGAUAAACCCCGAUACACCUCACCACCUCUCGCUAAAUCAGUCUAUAUACCGCCAUCUUCAGCAAACCCUAAAAAGGAAGAAUAGUAAGCACAAACAUCUUAACAUAAAAAAGUUAGGUCAAGGUGUAACCCAUGAGGUGGGAAGCAAUGGGCUACAUUUUCUAUAUCUAGAACAACCCUUUACGAAAGUCCUUAUGAAAUUAAGAACCAAAGGAGGAUUUAGUAGUAAAUUGAGAAUAGAGUGCUCAAUUGAAUAGGGCCAUGAAGCACGCACACACCGCCCGUCACCA